CAAUAAAAACAUUUAAAUCUGAUUUUAUAGGAAGAAGCUGACUUUAGAUGUGGCCAAAACAAUUGAAUGGAUGUCCAGAAACAGUUUUUAAAAUUAGGCAAGGGAUUAAAAAUAAAAUAAGUAUUUGCCCACGUCACACUGCCAGUGGCACAAAGAGACACAUUUUAAUACCUUCAAUCAUUUAUUUAUAUCCAUCCAUUUAUGUGAGCUUAAAGCCAGUCAAUGUAACCCUUUUGAUUGUUGCUUUUGGUGCGUCACGACUUCACAUUUUAAUACUGGCAUCUGUUUUUUUUUUCAGAGGAAAAAGCCAUGACCUCACGGAAGGUUAUCGACACAUAAUAGACACUUGAUGAAGUGAAGAUUAUUGGCCAUCGAGGUUUGUUGAAUGGAGUUCACGUACCCUAAAACUUCACUUGAAAAUAUGUCAUUGCAGUAUGUGUUCUUUCUUAAGAUACCUUGAAGGCAGCCAUUGAAAAGCUGAAUGAGUCACUGGACACAUCUGAUUUGAGGCAGUUUGACCCAGAUGAACAACGGAGAACAAAAAAGCUGAGAAAGCGUAGAAUAAUUUACGACUCCUCGGACACGGAUGAUGUUGAUGAGCUAAUGGACGGGGGAACACAGCCAUCAUGUCACCAUAAAGCUUCCAUGUUGCCACCUGCACCGAAACCACAAUCAAUCGCCCCGUGCUCAAGUGCUGUGGUACUGACAUGCCCAAUCGAGAGUUCACCUAGCACACCGCCAGUGACCAGAGGACUAUUUGAGCUGUCUACCUCCUCUUCAAUUGCAUUGCAGUCAGAGAGUACGUGUUCAUCUCCCGACAUCAUGUCACUGGGCCCAAGACCUGCUCAGCAUCGUAUGCCGACGCCAUGUCAAACACCCAGGGC
Molecule: long non-coding RNA, 884 nt
Organism: Dermacentor andersoni
Lineage: Eukaryota; Metazoa; Arthropoda; Arachnida; Ixodida; Ixodidae
Source: RefSeq, a predicted model, not a curated record